Molecule: long non-coding RNA, 657 nt
Organism: Amphiprion ocellaris (clown anemonefish)
Lineage: Eukaryota; Metazoa; Chordata; Actinopteri; Pomacentridae
Source: Ensembl
UUUCUGUGACCCUUACCCUUUGGUGAUGUCACUUCCUCUCUGUUAGCGCGCCUUUGUUCAGAUGGUCUGUGAAUCUGAUAGGAACAGGGAUGGAACGGGAACAGAAAUAAACCAGCUGGCGUGCAACAAAGUGGUUUCCCACCGUCAUUCUCCACACACAGCGCAGAGGAGAGAGAGUUAGCCCAGACCCGCUACAUUUAGACUAAACAGACAGGAGACAAAUGGAGAAACAAGUUGAGCAGCAGUUCUCUCUGAGGAGCUGCAUCCUGACUGACGGGCUGCACAUAUCCAUCAAAGCCAGGACUGAAAGAGGGGAUUGUUUUUAGCAGCUGCAGAGUUAAAGCAGAGCUGCUGGAAGCUGGAAGUCCGUGGUGUUAUACAGCAGAGUGGAGAGCUGGAAACAACCUGACUGUGAACACCGUUGACACCCACCUGAGGGAGACGCUGCCUAAGAUCUCAAGGCUGCUUGGUCGUGGUCUUUCUGGUCCUGCUCCAGAACGCCUUCAUCAACUACGUCUUCUUUUGAAGAGGCCCUCAGAUGCUGCAAUCACUGACCUUCAGGAGGAACUGCUACUUUCACUCUGUAAUGAGACGGCAGUUAUUUUAAAGACCCAGCUCCUGGCGGCUUUGAGUGAAAAUUUUACAUCAAAACGGAAC